AUUGAACGCUGGCGGCGUGCCUAACACAUGCAAGUCGAGCGGUAACAGGUGUAGCAAUACGUGCUGACGAGCGGCGGACGGGUGAGCAAUGCUUGGGAAUCUGCCUAUUAGUGGGGGACAACCCGGGGAAACUCGGGCUAAUACCGCAUACGCACCAUGGUGGAAAGCCGGGGACCGCAAGGCCUGGCGCUAAUAGAUGAGCCCAAGUCGGAUUAGCUAGUUGGNGAGGUAAUGGCUCACCAAGGCGACGAUCCGUAGCUGGUCUGAGAGGACGACCAGCCACACCGGAACUGAGACACGGCCCACACACCUACGGGUGGCAGCAGUUGGGAAUCUUGCACAAUGGGGAAACCCUGAUGCAGCGACGCCGCGUGGAGGAUGAAGGGUCUAGGCCUGUAAACUCCUUUUAUGGGAAGACUUAGGACGUACCCCAUGAAUAAGGACCGGCUAACUACGUGCCAGCCGCCGC
Molecule: ribosomal RNA, 469 nt
Filed under: uncultured bacterium
Lineage: Bacteria
Description: bacterial SSU rRNA
Rfam family: Bacterial small subunit ribosomal RNA
Source: RNAcentral